AGGGUUCAGUGGCGGACGGGCGAGUAAUGAAUCGCUAAUGUACCCCAGAGUCUGGGAUAGCUGACCGAAAGGUCAGGUAAUACCAGAUGAUAUAUCCGGUUGGCGUCAACUGGAUCUCAAAGGGCAAUCGCUCUGGGAGCAGGCGAUUUCGUAUCAGCUUGUUGGUGAGGUAACGGCUCACCAAGGCGACGACGCGUAGCUGGUCUGAGAGGACGGCCAGCCACAUUGGGACUGAGACACUGCCCAGACUCCUACGGGGGGCUGCAGUAACGAAUCUUUCGCAAUGCACGCAAGUGUGACGGAGCGACGCCGCGUGUGGGACGAAGUCCUUCGGGAUGUAAACCACUGUCAGGGGUUAGAAAGUUCUGAUCAACCCCAGAGGAAGAGACGGCUAACUCUGUGCCAGCAGCCGCGGUAAUACAGAGGUCUCGAGCGUUAGGCGGAAUCACUGGGCUUAAAGCGUGUGUAGGUGGAUGCCUAAGUACCUUGUGAAAUCCCACGGCUUAACCGUGGAACUGCUUGGUAUACUGGGUGUCUUGAGUCACUCAGGGGCGAGCGGAACAAAUGGUGGAGCGGUGAAAUGCGUAGAUAUCAUUUGGAACGCCAAUGGUGAAAACAGCUCGCUGGGGGUGCACUGACACUGAGACACGAAAGCCAGGGGAGCGAACGGGAUUAGAUACCCCGGUAGUCCUGGCCGUAAACGAUGUCGACUAGAUCGUGGUGGCUCUGACGUCAUCACGGUCGAAGCAAAAGUGCUAAGUCGACCGCCUGGGAAGUACGGUCGCAAGGCUAAAACUCAAAGGAAUUGACGGGGGCUCACACAAGCGGUGGAGCAUGUGGUUCAAUUCGAAGCAACGCGCAGAACCUUACCUGGGCUUGA
This 880-nucleotide ribosomal RNA is filed under the name uncultured soil bacterium. RNAcentral's name for it is "bacterial SSU rRNA". It matches the Rfam family "Bacterial small subunit ribosomal RNA", at positions 87 to 984 of the family's 1533-position model. The record is from RNAcentral.